CGGGUGAGUAAUGUCUGGGAAACUGCCUGAUGGAGGGGGAUAACUGCUGGAAACGGUAGCUAAUACCGCAUAACGUCGCAAGACCAAAGAGGGGGACCUUCGGGCCUCUUGCCAUCGGAUGUGCCCAGAUGGGAUUAGCUAGUAGGUGGGGUAACGGCUCACCUAGGCGACGAUCCCUAGCUGGUCUGAGAGGAUGACCAGCCACACUGGAACUGAGACACGGCCCAG
RNAcentral lists this ribosomal RNA (228 nucleotides) under uncultured bacterium. RNAcentral describes it as "partial 16S ribosomal RNA". It matches the Rfam family "Bacterial small subunit ribosomal RNA", at positions 103 to 334 of the family's 1533-position model. The record is from RNAcentral.